RNAcentral lists this ribosomal RNA (503 nucleotides) under uncultured bacterium. RNAcentral's name for it is "partial 16S ribosomal RNA". It matches the Rfam family "Bacterial small subunit ribosomal RNA", at positions 30 to 523 of the family's 1533-position model. The record is from RNAcentral.
AUUGAACGCUGGCGGCAGGCUUAACACAUGCAAGUCGAGCGGGGUGAUGGUGCUUGCACUAUCACUUAGCGGCGGACGGGUGAGUAAUGCUUAGGAAUCUGCCUAUUAGUGGGGGACAACAUCUCGAAAGGGAUGCUAAUACCGCAUACGUCCUACGGGAGAAAGCAGGGGAUCACUUUGGACCUUGCGCUAAUAGAUGAGCCUAAGUCGGAUUAGUUAGUUGGUGGGGUAAAGGCCUACCAAGGCGACGAUCUGUAGCGGUUCUGAGAGGAUGAUCCGCCACACUGGGACUGAGACACGGCCCAGACUCCUACGGGAGGCAGCAGUGGGGAAUAUUGGACAAUGGGGGGAACCCUGAUCCAGCCAUGCCGCGUGUGUGAAGAAGGCCUUAUGGUUGUAAAGCACUUUAAGCGAGGAGGAGGCUCUUUUGGUUAAUACCCAAGAUGAGUGGACGUUACUCGCAGAAUAAGCACCGGCUAACUCUGUGCCAGCAGCCGCCGUAA